RNAcentral lists this ribosomal RNA (293 nucleotides) under uncultured bacterium. RNAcentral's name for it is "partial 16S ribosomal RNA". It matches the Rfam family "Bacterial small subunit ribosomal RNA", at positions 505 to 796 of the family's 1533-position model. The record is from RNAcentral.
GUGUCAGCAGCCGCGGUAACACGUAGGGUGCGAGCGUUGUCCGGAAUUAUUGGGCGUAAAGAGCUCGUAGGCGGUGUGUCGCGUCGGCCGUGAAAACCUGCAGCUUAACUGUGGGCUUGCGGUCGAUACGGGCAUCACUGGAGUUCGGCAGGGGAGACUGGAAUUCCUGGUGUAGCGGUGAAAUGCGCAGAUAUCAGGAGGAACACCGGUGGCGAAGGCGGGUCUCUGGGCCGAUACUGACGCUGAGGAGCGAAAGCGUGGGGAGCGAACAGGAUUAGAAACCCCCGUAGUCC